AUGAGCGCGGGCGCGACAACCUUGUCCCAGUCGAUGAUGGCGGCGGCGAACGCCGGUGCUCCUUAUCGUCCUCUACCUCCAAGGACGCGCACCGGUACAGCUCAGACACCCCCGUCCCCAAAUCCCGUCCACCCAUCCGGCGUUGUCCAGCUCAUCCUCACGCUCGUGGAUUCGCCUCCUCCUGUACGCGACACUUGA
This 198-nucleotide ribosomal RNA is filed under the name Triticum aestivum (bread wheat). Its description in RNAcentral is "partial small subunit ribosomal RNA". Lineage: Eukaryota; Viridiplantae; Streptophyta; Magnoliopsida; Poales; Poaceae. The record is from RNAcentral.